AUGAGCCUGUGCGCACGAGUUGCUCUGCUCCGGGAUCUCCUCGCGCUGAUGGCCUCAGAUGCACCAGACGCGGCCAUCCCCGCCGCGGCCCGGUCCCAGCGGGAUGAGUUCUGGAAGGAGAAGCUCGCUGACCCGCUGCCUCCUAGCCGUCGCUAUCAACGCCCGCAAGCACAACCUGAAGAAGAGCGUCUGAGGUGCUUGCUAGCUUCAACUGGACGAGGACGGCGACCUACGGACUACGACAAGAAUUCUUCUGCAGUUGAAGUCAUUGCCCAGUCCCAGAUGCUCAUGUUUCCGUGUGUUGUUUCUUGGAGAGGAUAUCGUUCUUCAAAUAUGGAAGGGUCUAACAAUGAAUCAAUUCUUCUUCAUGUGCAACCUAACCUACUUCCCAAAUUCAUAUAUAACCAUCUGGCAGGUCUGAUGGACCAAACGACCAAGGCGACUACAGAGUUAAACCAUUUUUUCCUCGCAGCAGCAGUCCACCAAUAUUUUAAAGUGGAGUUCAUCUACCGUUGGAGGGGCUGUAGGCUGGCCCAGCUAAGCGCGGCAUGCCAAACCAUACUGACAACCGCACAGCCAAAGAACAAAUGGAACUUUGUAUACCCUGACAUCUACUAUUUGUUCGGUUGUAGAUCACCGGGGAGGGAGGGCUCUAAUGGAGGGGUGUGGUGGAGGGGCAAAGAAGAGGGGGGUGGUGGAAGGGCAAAGAAGAGGGGAAGGGAGGGCUCUAAUGGAGGGGUGGUGGAGGAGGAGCAUUGGAACAAGCAAGGUGCAAGGAAAGAGGGAGAAAGGAAGGAGGGAGGAAGAAUAAAGGGGAGGAAGGAGGGGAAAAGUGGUAGUGGUGGUUCGAACAAUGCAACUGCCGAGUUCGUGAACUUUUUGGACACCAACACCGUUGACAUCGAUGAGGCCCCAUUCGCCGCAUUUGAGUACAAUGAAACGGAGGGCGGUGUGGAUGAUCAUGGAGGUGAAGAAAAAUUGGAGGAGAUCGAUGAGUUGGUGUAUGAGCAAUCACAAGCAAAGAGUGAAAAAAUCCAAAGAUCAAAGAACUACACGAUCUUGGAAGACCAAAUCUUGAUCAAGCAUGGAGUGCGGUCUCUUGACGCAUGCACGGGGCGUUGGGACGUGAUCAAGCCCAUUUGCAGCCGUUGGGCAGCUUGCUUGGAGCAAGUACGCAAUGCACCUCCAAGUGGAACCGUGGAGUCUGACUAUGACAAAAUUGCCCAACAUAUGUACAAAGACAUGGAGGCUUCGGAAGGCAAAUUCUUUAAACUAGAUCAUUGUUGGGAGUUGCUCAAAAAUUGUGAAAAGUGGGCGUUGAUAGAGAAAGAGUCCCCACCGAAGAGAGGUUCACUUACAAACAUGGAUGAAGAUGAGGAUGAUGAUGGCCCAAGGAACUUGAACAAGCCCGAUGGCGACAAGAAGACUAGGGAGAAGAUCAAGAGAGAGCACGAAGCGGUGAGUUUGAGGGAGAAGAUUGAUGCCAUGGUGCAACCAAAUGAGAUGAUGCUUUUGAAGUCGUUGGAGAUCAAGAAAGAUUGGCCGAGAAGAAGGCGCGAGAGAAGCAUGAGAAAUGGGAGUUGCUCAAGAAAGAGGGGCUGCGCAAAGUGGCCAUUGAGGAGAGAAGAGUACGUGCUGCUGAGAACAAAGCCACAUCCAUGUUGCUCGUGGAAGAGAACAAGAUCAUUGCGUGUUACAGUGCGGGAGGUGGAUUCGGUGGGUGGUUUGGAGCCAAUGUCGCCGAUGCGUUCAGUGCACCAGCCGAUGAUUUCGCUGCCGGCGUUGGCACAAGCGCCGGAGGUGGAUUCGGUGGCUCCGAUGAUCUCCAUGGACUCGAUGGCGCGGAGUGAAGAUCGACCAAGAUGA
Molecule: ribosomal RNA, 1866 nt
Filed under: Triticum aestivum (bread wheat)
Lineage: Eukaryota; Viridiplantae; Streptophyta; Magnoliopsida; Poales; Poaceae
Description: partial small subunit ribosomal RNA
Source: RNAcentral